This 630-nucleotide ribosomal RNA is filed under the name Salmonella enterica subsp. enterica. Its description in RNAcentral is "partial 23S ribosomal RNA". It matches the Rfam family "Bacterial large subunit ribosomal RNA", at positions 566 to 1190 of the family's 2925-position model. Lineage: Bacteria; Pseudomonadati; Pseudomonadota; Gammaproteobacteria; Enterobacterales; Enterobacteriaceae. The record is from RNAcentral.
CACACAAAACAAGCGGUGAAUGCUUUGGGGUGGGGUGACUGCGUACCUUUUGUAUAAUGGGUCAGCGACUUAUAUUCUGUAGCAAGGUUAACCGAAUAGGGGAGCCGGAGGGAAACCGAGUCUUAAUUGGGCGUUAAGUUGCAGGGUAUAGACCCGAAACCCGGUGAUCUAGCCAUGGGCAGGUUGAAGGUUGGGUAACACUAACUGGAGGACCGAACCGACUAAUGUUGAAAAAUUAGCGGAUGACCUGUGGCUGGGGGUGAAAGGCCAAUCAAACCGGGAGAUAGCUGGUUCUCCCCGAAAGCUAUUUAGGUAGCGCCUCGUGAAUUCAUCUCCGGGGGUAGAGCACUGUUUCGGCUAGGGGGCCAUCCCGGCUUACCAACCCGAUGCAAACUGCGAAUACCGGAGAAUGUUAUCACGGGAGACACACGGCGGGUGCUAACGUCCGUCGUGAAGAGGGAAACAACCCAGACCGCCAGCUAAGGUCCCAAAGUCAUGGUUAAGUGGGAAACGAUGUGGGAAGGCCCAGACAGCCAGGAUGUUGGCUUAGAAGCAGCCAUCAUUUAAAGAAAGCGUAAUAGCUCACUGGUCGAGUCGGCCUGCGCGGAAGAUGUAACGGGGCUAAACCAU